CACAGACAUGCAGCGCAGAUUUUGACAUGUCGAAGUGUAUUUUUAGUAAAACGUGAAAAUUGUGCGUUUUGCGCUAAAUGUUUGUCUUAAGUUCUGUGCGUCACUACUGCCGAUUAUUGUCAAGUCAUUCAAUAAGAGCUACUAGCCAAUCCUAGAGCAAGAGGCGGGAUUUGACGGGAAACAGGCCGAUAUGUGUAACUGCAGGCGUGGGCAGCGUUAGCGGGUGCCUCUAUCCGGAUACGUCUCUCCUGUAACACCAAAUAGGGACAGAACCAUGAGGGCCAUUUUGUAUUUGGCGGAAGAUGAGUUAUGUAACCUUGUAAAAGCAACAGAAUAUUCACCCACUUUAAAUAUGUUAAUGUUUGCAUAAAUAUGUACAGCCUACAAUAUGUACAGCCAUAUUUAGAAAUAUUGGCACCCUCCAAAGGAAAUGGGUUAUAUUAUUGUAUUUUUUUAUUACAGAUUUAAAUUGAGAUUUUAUUGUCAUGCUACAGCUUACACAGGAUUAAAAAGUAUAAAAGAGGCAGGACGAGUGGGUACAGCUGAGCGACAGUGCUGCGCGUAUCCAUGGAGACGGUGACACUGCGCAGCUGCAGGCGCUGAUGAACGGAACUGCGCAGACCCGGGAGGAGAACCUCACUCUUCC
This is a long non-coding RNA of Ictalurus furcatus (blue catfish), 646 nucleotides long. RefSeq lists it as uncharacterized. NCBI's taxonomy places the organism in Eukaryota, Metazoa, Chordata, Actinopteri, Siluriformes, Ictaluridae. The record is from RefSeq and is a predicted model, not a curated record. The transcript is spliced from 3 exons.